AUGCUGGGGCUUCGCCGAGCGCUGUCCCGCACCCGUGCUGCUGCAGCACCGAUGCAGUGUGGAGAGCACGGGGGGUGCAGGACACUGGAGCCUUUGCCCAUGCCCAGACCCUGGCUGGGAGCAGGGUGUCACAGCACCGCCCUGGGCACCUCUUCUCCCCACGCCAGUGCAUUUUCAGCAGGUGUGGGGCCGCAUCCACCCCCCAUGAAGAUGCUCCCGGUUGGGCCAUGCUCAGAAAGUGCUCGUUUCUCUUUCCACUCAGUAACGAGGCAGAAAAUUGCAAAGAGGGGAGCUCCGGGCAGGGGACACGGUGAUGAGACGCUGAGACAGCAGUGCCGUCCCCAUCCCACUUGCCGGGUGCUGGCCCCCACCUCCGCUCCCCUUCCAGGGCCCUCUCACCAGCAGCACCGAUGGAGACUGCGAGGUGUCAGCCGGGAAGUCUUUUACCUUCACCUCGCCUCCCCAAAUGGACAAUGUCUCCGCUCAUUAGGCACCCACCCAGGGGGCAGAUGUCAGCUCAGCUCAUGUAGCUCACGGCUUUUCUCAGCUCAUCGCUGCCGCAGCUCUGACGGCUUCAGAGCGCUCAGCUCCCAUCACGUCAGGUGGCGGCUGCAUCCUGCAUCCCCUGCCCGCCCCGCCUGCCCCCGGCGGCUCCUCCGCAGGAGGUGCUCACCUUCCUUCCCUCCCGACGAACGUGGCUUCCGAGGAUGCUUCAUUAAAAGGCUGGGAAAUAAUGGGCACCGGUGGCACGCAUGCGUGCGCGGCGCUCGCUUCGUUUUUCCUUGCCGGGCAGUGCCUGGGAGGAGAAGCCAUCACUGCAGCCUGCCUGCUGAGGCUGAUGCGUCCCGACAGCUUGUUCACUGGGACAUUAAAAUCAUUGCCUCUGUCUGUGUAAAACACACAGCGAGCCGGGUGAUGGGAACACAGGUCAGGGGAGGAUUGUUCUCUCCCCUUCGCGCUCAGCAGUGCCACUGGGAGCCCAAGCAGCAGGACCAAGCAGGUCCUUGCUGCGUCCCACCCGGACAGGAGCAUGGCACCGGUCCCCUCCGACACAAAGUGGGAUGUUCCCUUUCUGGGGUGUGUUACAGCUCAGGUGCUGGGGAGAGCACCCCAACCCCACCAGUGCAUCCCCCCAGUCUUUUACCCAGGGGCUUUGGUUUCCCUGGGGGGCUUCAGCACAGCAAGGGGAAGCCUGCAAGCCCCUCUCUGAACCCGUGCUCCCAAAGGCAGGCCAGGCAAGUGGCACUACAGGCGCAGAGUGCUCACAGGUGA
This 1272-nucleotide long non-coding RNA is filed under the name Anser cygnoides (Swan goose). RNAcentral describes it as "lncRNA (ENSACDG00005011905.1)". Lineage: Eukaryota; Metazoa; Chordata; Aves; Anseriformes; Anatidae. The record is from RNAcentral.